CACCCAUUGUGGACCAACACCGGAGUCCAGAAGUGCACUACAGAAGAUCCAUAUACAUGGGGAUCUAAGGAUCAAGGCAAGCCAUCCUGCUAGCCUCAAAACGGCAACAAGAUCAUACUCCCAUUGAUUUCUAUGGCAUCCGCAGGCUCAAGGGUGGCAGAUUGAAAACUAGUUUCAUAGAGUUGAACAAUAUUAGGAUGUUUAAUCAUCUGAUGGAUGCGGGGCUCCCUCUUCAUGUUCUUCAAAACGAAUUCUCCUUUGAAGACAGUGGCAUAACCAAAAGAGAUUCUUGAGAAUGAUCCAAUUCCAACAAAUGUGAUGCUUCCAAAGUACUAGUCCCAAAACUAACAGAAGUUGCCUCUGCCUCAUCUACAGUACUUGGUCACCAAUUGAUUUGACAAGGGACUGAAAACUGUUUUUAAGCUCCAGACUUCCACUUCCAGGCAUCACAUCUUAACUUUUGCCUUUGGAAACUCUUUGCUGCUUAGUAGCUACACUUUUACCUUUUUUUUUACUGAACUUGCCAGUCACAUUCUUUAUCCUCUUCUUCAGGUUUUAGGACAAUAGGAUCUGAAGAACUCACAUCUUACCUCAUUUAUCCAAAAUCACAAUGUUACAUUAGUGUGUCAUCUAAAGGGCGAGGAACAUUUACCUCAUUUACUCCAAAUCUUGCCACAUUCAUGAUGCCUAGUGUGUUGCCUUCAACCUGUAAUAAGUCUAGAUCACUAAAGGAAUUUUACUCUUCAUGGUUCUGAUUAUGCUGAGCCUCUGGACACUUAAUAUACAAAUGACCGAGCUUACAGCACAAAUUGCAAACAAUGGUAUUGAUGCAUUCACUUCUUGGAUGACCAAAUUCCUUAUAGUUACUGCAUCUGAUUUUAUCACAGGUUGAAGAAAAAUGUCCUCUGAAACCACACUUAAAACAUUUUGGGCUAGAUUACCAGUGGAGCGCUAUAUAUCUUUCAUGA
Long non-coding RNA from Bombina bombina (fire-bellied toad), 968 nucleotides. RefSeq lists it as uncharacterized. The transcript has 4 exons. The record is from RefSeq and is a predicted model, not a curated record. Lineage: Eukaryota; Metazoa; Chordata; Amphibia; Anura; Bombinatoridae.